GAUGAACGCUGGCGGCGUGCCUAAUACAUGCAAGUCGAGCGAACGGACGAGAAACUUGCUUCUCUGAUGUUAGCGGCGGACGGGUGAGUAACACGUGGAUAACCUACCUAUAAGACUGGGAUAACUUCGGGAAACCGGAGCUAAUACCGGAUAAUAUUUUGAACCGCAUGGUUCAAAAGUGAAAGACGGUCUUGCUGUCACUUAUAGAUGGAUCCGCGCUGCAUUAGCUAGUUGGUAAGGUAACGGCUUACCAAGGCAACGAUGCAUAGCCGACCUGAGAGGGUGAUCGGCCACACUGGAACUGAGACACGGUCCAGACUCCUACGGGAGGCAGCAGUAGGGAAUCUUCCGCAAUGGGCGAAAGCCUGACGGAGCAACGCCGCGUGAGUGAUGAAGGUCUUCGGAUCGUAAAAAUCUGUUAUUAGGGAAGAACAUAUGUGUAAGUAACUGUGCACAUCUUGACGGUACCUAAUCAGAAAGCCACGGCUAACUACGUG
This 497-nucleotide ribosomal RNA is filed under the name uncultured bacterium. RNAcentral describes it as "partial 16S ribosomal RNA". It matches the Rfam family "Bacterial small subunit ribosomal RNA", at positions 28 to 507 of the family's 1533-position model. The record is from RNAcentral.